Molecule: ribosomal RNA, 500 nt
Filed under: Bacillus amyloliquefaciens
Lineage: Bacteria; Bacillati; Bacillota; Bacilli; Caryophanales; Bacillaceae
Description: bacterial SSU rRNA
Rfam family: Bacterial small subunit ribosomal RNA
Source: RNAcentral
GCCUAAUACAUGCAAGUCGAGCGGACAGAUGGGAGCUUGCUCCCUGAUGUUAGCGGCGGACGGGUGAGUAACACGUGGGUAACCUGCCUGUAAGACUGGGAUAACUCCGGGAAACCGGGGCUAAUACCGGAUGCUUGUUUGAACCGCAUGGUUCAGACAUAAAAGGUGGCUUCGGCUACCACUUACAGAUGGACCCGCGGCGCAUUAGCUAGUUGGUGAGGUAACGGCUCACCAAGGCGACGAUGCGUAGCCGACCUGAGAGGGUGAUCGGCCACACUGGGACUGAGACACGGCCCAGACUCCUACGGGAGGCAGCAGUAGGGAAUCUUCCGCAAUGGACGAAAGUCUGACGGAGCAACGCCGCGUGAGUGAUGAAGGUUUUCGGAUCGUAAAGCUCUGUUGUUAGGGAAGAACAAGUGCCGUUCAAAUAGGGCGGCACCUUGACGGUACCUAACCAGAAAGCCACGGCUAACUACGUGCCAGCAGCCGCGGUAAUACGU